Molecule: ribosomal RNA, 813 nt
Filed under: Triticum aestivum (bread wheat)
Lineage: Eukaryota; Viridiplantae; Streptophyta; Magnoliopsida; Poales; Poaceae
Description: partial small subunit ribosomal RNA
Source: RNAcentral
AUGGGCCUCAGUACUGUGUUUGAGAUAUGGACUCGUCCUCGUCAGCGCUAUCAGCCCUCUGGUGAUGCUCUCUACUUGUCUGUGGUACGUCAGGAGCAUGCUCUUCAGCAGGGAGACUCCACUAUUGAUGAGUUCUACACUCAAAGUUCUGCUAUCUGGCGCCAGCUUGACAACCUUCGCACUGCUGUUUGUGGCACUUGCGCGUGUUGCCAGACUGUGAGGUCCGACUUGGAGUUUCAGCGUGUCUAUGUGUUUCUGUCGCGGCUCCGUGGAGAGUUUGAGCCUCGACGUGCUCAGUUGUUUGCUCAUGGUCGUGUUCCUAUUUCUGAGGUACUUGCUGAGCUUAGUGCUGAGAAGACUCGCCUCCGUGGUGCUGGGUUGCUUCAGGUUCCCUCUGUGCUUGCUGCUCGAACUGCUUCUCCACCAGUGAUUUCUUGCUCCAAUGCCCCAUCGCUACUGCCCACUCCUAGUAGUGAGGGUCGCUCUCAUGAGGGUCUCUCUCGUCCUCGUACUCAUUGCGGCUACUGCAACAGGGAUGGUCACCCCGAGUCUGAUUGCCUCAAGAAGAAGCGUGAUAUGCGUAACAGGGAGCGCAAUUCUUCUUCUGGGACUCGUGCUGCUUCAUCGACGUCAUCUACUGUCUCCUUGACUGAGCAGGAUAUUGUGAAGCUUAAGCGUCUACUUGUCGCUUCAGGUUCUUCGACGGGUACUGCAGGCUCUGUGACUGGUGCUUUCAGUGCUGAGCGGCCACCAUCUACACAGUCAGGAUCGUCACACAAAGGCUCUGAUUGGAGCUGGCCCUCGCCGUCGUGA